UACAGAGGGGGCGAGCGUUGUUCGGAAUUACUGGGCGUAAAGGGCGCGUAGGCGGCCUGUUAAGUCGAACGUGAAAUCCCCGGGCUCAACCCGGGAACUGCGUCCGAUACUGGCAGGCUUGAAUUCGGGAGAGGGAUGCGGAAUUCCAGGUGUAGCGGUGAAAUGCGUAGAUAUCUGGAGGAACACCGGUGGCGAAGGCGGCAUCCUGGACCGAGAUUGACGCUGAGGCGCGAAAGCCAGGGGAGCAAACGGG
This 253-nucleotide ribosomal RNA is filed under the name uncultured bacterium. RNAcentral describes it as "partial 16S ribosomal RNA". It matches the Rfam family "Bacterial small subunit ribosomal RNA", at positions 524 to 776 of the family's 1533-position model. The record is from RNAcentral.